RNAcentral lists this ribosomal RNA (646 nucleotides) under uncultured Inocybe. RNAcentral describes it as "eukaryotic LSU rRNA". The stretch from base 289 to 442 matches the Rfam family "5.8S ribosomal RNA". The record is from RNAcentral. Lineage: Eukaryota; Fungi; Basidiomycota; Agaricomycetes; Agaricales; Cortinariaceae.
AAGUGGUAACAAGGUUUCCGUAGGGAACUUGCGGAGGGAUCAUAAUCGAUUAAACUUGAACAGGCUGUUGCUGGUCCUUCGGGGUAUGUGCACGCUGGUCUCAUCUUUGUAAUUUUCUCCCACUUGUGCACCUUUGGUGGACUCGGGAGCUUUGUGGAUUUUCGGAAAAUUGGAGUCGGGACUGCCGUGCUUUGUUGUGAAUUGGGCUUUCCCUUCCAUUUUCCAGGUUUAUGUCAUUUUCCCAACUUCUUGAACCAUGUUUAGAAUGUGGGAUAAAAUGAAAUAUACAACUUUCAGCAACGGAUUUCUUGGCUCUGGCAUGGAUGAAGAACGCAGGGAAAUGCGAUAAGUAAUGUGAAUUGCGGAAUUCAGGGAUUCAUGGAAUCUUUGAACGCUUCUUGCGUUCCUUGGUAUUCCGAGGACCAUCCCUGUUUGAGUGUCAUUUAACUUUUCAACCCCAUGGGAUAUUUUUUUUCGGAUGCCGGCUUGGAUGUGGGGGUGGUUUCCGGGCUUUUGGUACCAAAAAAGUUCGGUUCCCCUGAAAUGUAUUAGUGGUAUUUGAGGCUAUUACUUUUAGGUGUGAUAAUUAUUUAUCCCUUUUGGGUAUGCCGCAUGAACAGAUUAUGCUGCUUCUAACGAAAACUAU